Dermochelys coriacea (leatherback sea turtle) is the source of this 1085-nucleotide long non-coding RNA. RefSeq lists it as uncharacterized. NCBI's taxonomy places the organism in Eukaryota, Metazoa, Chordata, Testudines, Dermochelyidae. The record is from RefSeq and is a predicted model, not a curated record. The transcript is spliced from 2 exons.
AGGGCUCCGGCCACCGCUACCGCCUAGGGCCCUUUAAACCCCUGCCAGACGCCCUGGCUGCUGCUGUUACCCCGGGGAGAGGGAAGGAGGCACUUGCCGGUACAGAGUGGGCUGGAGCUGGCUCUGACCUCCCCCAGCCCCGCCCCUUCCACCCAAGGCCCUGGCCCUUCCAGGAGCCAGAGCCAACCCCAGCCCAGCCCCGUACUGAUAAGUCCCAAGACUUGCUUUCACCCCACUUCCACCCUAACCCGGUGCCACUUUUGUAACAAACUGUUUGCAGGGCUUUACGCUGGUGCCUGUCCUCAAGCACCAUCCAGGUUGCUAUGGGUUGGAACCACUGAUACAAAAGAAUGUCUUAAAAGCUGCAGCACAAGACCUAUUGCCUAUGCCUUGUGGCCUUGCUUACCAUGGCUGUAGCAGCAAACUGAUUCUUGCAGUAGCCAGUGGUGGUUCUUACAUUGUGGAUUGCAUGGAAGUACAUUGAGGGAUAUUUCUUUUAUAAAAAGAUUUAAUCUUGCACCAGAAACAAUGUAUGCACUCUCAAUGCUACUCCUGUGGUUUGUAUUCUUUGCAGCUGAAACCUUGUCCACAGGUGCAUCCUCCAUACAGGGAUAGAGACUUUCCCAGAUUAGAAGGUGGAAAAAGACGACUUGGGAGAACAUGCUCAAGAGUUAAUGCACGCCUCAGAAUGACAAGAUGGAGCUCAGUGCAUAUUUUGAGGGAGCAAAUGGACAUGUUAAGGCGUUUGAGGUUCAAGAAAGGCAACUGGAUGCUAGAGUCCCACUGCAGCCUAUGCUGAACCUUCUGCCAUCAUCGCCAAGUUCCACAUCCUUCUCUCCUAGGAUUUUUGGGGGGGCGGGGAGGGGAAGUCGGGUUUCCAUUGCACUCAACUCCAGGCGAGGGUACAAGGACCAGAAGGCACCCAUUCCCAUGCCUUUGAUUGUUACUGCAGUGCAAUUGCAAGCAAGCUGACCUUGUUGUCCCUCCUCCCCCCCCAUGUUAUCAGCCCCUUAGCCUCAGGUUCUUACUUUUCUUUACAGUCAGUGUUUGUGAGCAUAAUAAAAAUUAAUGGAUUGAGGAGAAAA